This is a non-coding RNA of Monodelphis domestica (gray short-tailed opossum), 46 nucleotides long. The record is from Rfam. NCBI's taxonomy places the organism in Eukaryota, Metazoa, Chordata, Mammalia, Didelphimorphia, Didelphidae.
CCUAAGGCUCUUUUCAGGGCCACCACUGUUUCUUCUAAAGAGCUGU